Long non-coding RNA from Zophobas morio, 1935 nucleotides. RefSeq lists it as uncharacterized. NCBI's taxonomy places the organism in Eukaryota, Metazoa, Arthropoda, Insecta, Coleoptera, Tenebrionidae. The record is from RefSeq and is a predicted model, not a curated record. The transcript is spliced from 4 exons.
UUUUGUUUUCAACAAGUCCUUUUCUAUAUCUAAUUUAACUUUAUAUUUAUUUUAUCUUCUAAAGACUUUUUGACAUACAAUAACUGACCUUCCAUUAAUAAGUUAUAAGUGUUUCCUAAAAAGUUUCAAAUCUAAAUGUUAAUUUUACCGGCCGCAAUUCCUCUACCUCUAAUAUAAAUAUAAGAAUAUAUUUAUAUAAUAUAAUAAUUAGAUAUAUCAUAGACUUUAACUUAAUAUAAUUAUGAAGUCGAAGAACUAAAAGCACUAGGAAUUUAUUUGAUAAUUUUCGACUCUCUAGGAGCACCCAACCUCAGGAAAAAAAUAAGAUAAAAAAAUUUAGCAGCAGCUCAUGCGUGGAAUGCAUUUAUAUAAGCACGUGCAGCCCACGUCCCUCAUACUAUAAAAGCCAAACAAAAAGUUAAAAAUCUCAAGAUCUUUUAAAGUUGUUUCGUGUAACAAAUCGCUAAUGAAAGGUUGGUAAUUUAAAAAGAAAUAUAGUAAUUAAUAACAUGGAAAGGGUUCUGAAAAGGUUAGAACAGAGAAAAACCCUGGACGAGAGGCCACAUCAGAGCAUAAAGAGAUCAAUAAUCCGCUUUAGUAUUUAUAUCUUCCAUAGUAGGCAAUUUUCAAAUAAUUGUUAUACGUGCAGUUCACGUUCUAAGCCGAGGUGAAUUAACAUAUUCCUUUGAGACUUAGCCCUCUAGGUUAAUAUAUCUGCUUGUUUAUGUAAAAUCACUUUUGGUGGGUGCCUGCUGGAAUAAACAUUAAAUUAAGUUUUUAUAGUUUUUAUAACAAAGCGACCUGUAGAAGUGCACAUGGGAAAUCUUGUUGCACGCAUAAAAUCAUAGUGAACUUAAUUUUUGUAUGGAUAUAGGAACCAAUAAAUUUCCUAACUAUGGCCCGGGGUUUAUUCUGAAAAUAUUAUUAGUAUUUAUGAGGGCGAGGUUUCGAGAUAUGCAAUCAAUCAAAAAAGAGUCAAGUCGGUGUACAUCAAACCCAUGACCUUGAGCGCGCGUCAAUGGUUUUCACCUCUGAGCUACGACAACCCUCCUCUCGAGUUCGGGAUUACUUCGGAGAAUUGGAAGGUGCUUAACGCCCCGUCGAAAGCUCCGCUCUUAAAAAUGGGGCUUUCAUGUCUGUGUGGUGGCUUACUUAAGAUAGUCUCGCUAAGUUUCUCUCCUCUGUAAUUCGACUCCUAUUGGCAGCUUAUGAAGUAAUAAUUCAUGUUCUUCCAUGCUUACGCUGGGUACAAACAAUUACCUGUGGAAUUACUUCUUCUGAGAGGAAAUGAAGCAGAGUCUGUUGGGCCCUUGGACAAUCAUUGGCAAGUAGACUUAUGUCUAAACGCUGCACCUUUUAGCUACUAAGUGCGUCUGAUUAGCUCUCGGUUGUAAGCUAGGUAUAUUGGGAAAUAAUUAUAACAGUAUUGCUCCGUUCCUGAGCCAUUGGUACAAUUUGGUGGCUAAGAAAAUUGAACGUACGAAUGUUAAUAGCCGCAACAUGAAAGUGUUGCUGAAGAAAAAGUGCUGUUGUGAAUAGUGUUAUUAACUAAUAUAUAUAUGGAGCGCGCGUCCCAAUUUUUUGGGGUUAGGUUACGAAUGCACUCUAAUGCAUCCCCCGAAGGAGUAUCAUGAUUGCCCAGGAGGACUUGGGGGUAGUGGAGGUAGUAUAUCUGCCUGAACUAUCAGAAUUUUUGUUUGUAGGAAAAUCGAAACGUAACCACCCAACCAGAAAGAUGCGAGUGGGCACCAACGGGAAUCGAACCGCGACCUUAAGUAUGCGCCCAAAGCUCUUAAUUGCUGAACUACAAACGACUAUUCUCGAUGCCUUACAUUUGAUCUCGUCAAAUUAUCUAUACCGUUUCACUUGAGCAUUCAGUAAAUAAAUUUCUGCCUCCUUAAAAGGGCGUCCCCGUUUGUCGUGGCAAAAAUUUCA